This 1907-nucleotide long non-coding RNA is filed under the name Nicotiana tabacum (common tobacco). Its description in RNAcentral is "long non-coding RNA (NTAB_LNC000249)". Lineage: Eukaryota; Viridiplantae; Streptophyta; Magnoliopsida; Solanales; Solanaceae. The record is from RNAcentral.
UUGUUUCGAUCACAUCCUUCAGUUAACCAGCUUUAACGAACAAAAUGGACAGGCCUUUUGCUAAAGAUUUAACUAACAAUGGCCAAAUCUAUCACCUCUUGUAACAGGCUAUGAUUCAAUGCAAAGCCAUAGCUUGUUUACGGUUAAACAAAGGAACUUGAAUAACACUUGAUCAUAAACUCUAACACCUUAGCAUAUUUGGAGGUUCAUUUAGAAUUAGCAGGUUAAAUUGAAGCACAAGAGUACAUAAGACACUUGAUUAACCAUGGAUCAGCUUAUGGGAAUUCAAUUUAGGGAUUCAAAUCUGAUCAAUCUCAUAUGUGAUGCUUCCAAAUAUACAAGCAAAUUCAUGGUCUUGUACUAAACAGUUCAUAAAGUCACAUGAGAGUAACAAUAGAUCUGGAUUUCAUAGAAGAGAAGAGAAACUAAACUUAAUUAUUCUAGCACACAAAGAGAUAUAAGUUCACAAGUGUGUACCUAAUACUCAAAAAUUAAGUGUAGAAUAGCCAAAUAAAAGUGAAUGAAGUUCAGCAAGGGGCAACAAAGCAGUAAUGAUCUCACACCUCCAUAGCUCUUAAAAACCCAGAAAGUAAAUGGCGGCUUCACACGAUUCACCCUUUUUUUGAAAAUUUCUUUUUAGAUCUCCAUUGAGAGUUUAGAAUUUUAAAAUUUUGCUUUUCAGACGCUUUUCUGAAUUUACGGCUCGUAGAUGAAUAACUGUUAGCAUGUGUGAAUUUUUAGAGAUGUGUAUAUGUGUGAGAAUAGUGUCUAGCCCCUUAAAUGCAGAUUGGAAGCUUCUCUUAUGAAAAAAAUCUGAAAAUCAUUUCACAUGCACCCUCCCUAAAAAUAAGGAAAAACAACAUUUAUUCAAACCAAUUCUGGCGGUUGUCCCUUCUUCAAGUACUAUCCUAUUAUUUACAACUCCUUUUUUCUAAAUUUACCCUUUUACACCUCUCAAUUUUACCCAAUUUGCUUAGCUUAUUGCACUUUAAUCCUUUUCUAGAAGAUUCCUACAUAACUACCUAAGAUUCUCUAAAUCAAUUUCCUACAUUGCCCUUCAACACUUCAGUAAUUACCCCUCUUUGUUCUUACCUUUCCCAAUACCUACUGCCUCUCUAAUACUUAAUAGAAUAAAUAUCUACCACACGACUAACCAACCAGACUAGACUAAUAGUGAAUUAAUAAAUCCAAAACUAAAACCUGAAUCCAUUGAAUUAAUAAUUAACUAAAUAUGCUAAUUAUACUAAUGAGCAAUUUAGAUUAAGAAAACUCAGACAACAUGUAAUACUGAAACCAUAAACUAAAAUAAAGAAAAUAGAACUUUAAUGAACUAAAACGGUGAAGGCAUUAGAAAAGGGAAGGAUUAUACCUAUUUGAGUUAAUUCAGAAUAAUGACACUGACCCUGGUGAGCUACAACUGAACCCUAGCAAAUAAACGCGGAUUCUAGCGUGCAAGAGGAAUUGCUACAUUAGCAUUUGGUCGUCGAUUUCUCAUACAAGCUAAUGCUAUAUAUAGAAAUGCUAAUUGCAAGCCGAAUUUUUGAAAGGAGAUGAAGUUUCUUGAAAGCAACUUGGUCGGACAAAUUUUGGUGACCAACAAACGAUCUAAAACUAAAAUCAAACAACGGAUUACCCAAAAACUAUUGCUUGAUAUAAGCUAAAGGCCGUAAAUGAAUCGGAGAAAGGACUGGGUGAUUUUUGGAUUUUACUUGAUUUCUCAGAUCUGAAAAUCGACGAAUUUGGUGGGGAUUUUGGGAAAGUUGAUGGUAGAUUAAUGACGGGGAUGAGGGGAGGAGUGUGGGGUAUGAAUUUGAGGGAGUUUGAAGUGGUGUCGCCGCCGUAGGGCGAUUUCUGACUGCGGCUCUGAGAGAAUGAAAGAGAUGAGAGAUGAGGGGAAGUAGAAGUGU